This is a non-coding RNA of Camellia sinensis, 1677 nucleotides long. The record is from RefSeq and is a predicted model, not a curated record. Lineage: Eukaryota; Viridiplantae; Streptophyta; Magnoliopsida; Ericales; Theaceae.
UAUCCAUAUUUUGUCAUACCUCUAUCUUGUAUCCCAUUUCUUGCUUUGUAGAUUGCAACUAGUCACUUAAUCUCUACCAAUACAACACUUUGAAUUUUAUUGCGUGCCAUGACUUCUAGUAGUUUAAAAUUAAGACUAUUUGGUAGACUAGAAAGUCAACACAUACUUUAUGUGCAUGAAUACAUCGUAGGGAAGCAUUGCAACUCUUGAUGGCAGUGGAGUUAUAUGCGGAACGUGCGACUGGAAGUAGAGAGCCUACAUACUUCAUGGUGGUUAUGUAACUGUGUAUAUAAAAUUACUAUGUGACUCUCAAAUGAUUUGAUUAAUUAUCACCAUCUGAAUAAAUUAAUCAAUUUUUAUUGAAUUUUUUCUAGAAAUCGAAAGUCUGACUCGGCUUUGCCAAAUUAGUGUUUCCUAAUUAUAGAUAAAUAAAGAAAAAUAGUCUAUCCUAAAAGAUUUAUGACAAAAUUACUUUUUAAUUUAUGUAUAUUUUUAUAUAAGGUUGUAUCCUUUAACAUAAUCCAUAUCCUACUUUUUCAAAAUUUGUAUCGAUGUAUCCAUUUUGGGUCAUACCUCUAUCUUGUAUCCCUCUAUCCAUGCUUUAUAAAUUGUAACUAGUCACCUAAUCUCUGCCAAUACAAUAGUUUGUACUUAUGUCUUAAUGUGAGAUAACAUAAGUAUAUUGGAAGAAAUACUCUUUAAUAAUCUAAUUGUAGGUUAUAUAGUAGGCGAAUGAUAUUUCUCUGCUCCAUGUAGGCAUGUUUAUAUUCUAAUUCUAAUUUUCAUGUUUUAUUGUUUAUCAGUGUUAAGACUAAUAAUCAAUCCAUUAGAAUAGACCUGCGUUUCUAAUUCUUCAGUUACUUUCGGGGAUGGGAGCAAAAUUUUAAGAACCUUAAUUGUUCCUUUAUGUAGUGUGGGAGAAAAUAGAUGAGCAAGAAGGUUUCAAGCUGUUUGGGACCACAGAUUCUCGAGAACCUAAAAAUGCAGUAGAAAUACUCGAGCAAAGGGAGCAAAAGCUCUUAUUUUAUGAAUCCACUGAGUUGGGAAGAGCAAGCAACUUGCGCAAAAGUUUAGCUUGGGAUAGUGCUUUUUUCACUAGUGCAGGAGUUCUAGAUCCAGAGGAGUUGUUUAUUAUAAAUAAAGGAUUUCAGAAGGCUGAAGCUCACCUAUUACCCGUAAUUCAAGAAGAUCUGUGUAGGUGGAGAUAUGCAGACUCAGAAUCUACAUUAGAUAGUGAUGACUUCUCUUUGGACAGCAACCAAAGCACUGAGGUUGAUCUGUUUGAAGAAAUAAGAGCAUCCAUUGAGAAAUCCAAUAUAAUGUCCAAUAUUUGCAAGUCAGUUUGCAAAUCAGGAGUUGGAGAAGCCCACAAACGGGAAACCCACUGUAAGUAUAUUGCAAAUUUAGAACAAAUUUUAUUGUGAAUGGAAGAAGUAAUUUUUGCCUGUUCAUUUUGUAUGGGAAUUGCAAUGUGAUUGCAUUUAAGGUAUCCCAAAGAGAUUUAAUGGGUAAUCGGGCCUUCCGCUAUUGUUGAAGUAGGAAAUAUUGAAACCUCACUUGUCCUAAAUUCUUUUCUUACUCUUAGGCUUUGUAAGCAUAAUAUCCUGUGUUUAGGAGGUUGGUACAUAGCAUUAGUGUCUUGUAAAAAAUGUUAUAUGGUCUCCCUUUUUAUGCAUC